CCUACGGGAGGCAGCAGUGAGGAAUAUUGGUCAAUGGACGAGAGUCUGAACCAGCCAAGUAGCGUGAAGGAUGACUGCCCUAUGGGUUGUAAACUUCUUUUAUAUGGGAAUAAAAUGUUCCACGUGUGGGAUUUUGUAUGUACCAUAUGAAUAAGGAUCGGCUAACUCCGUGCCAGCAGCCGCGGUAAUACGGAGGAUCCGAGCGUUAUCCGGAUUUAUUGGGUUUAAAGGGAGCGUAGGUGGAUUGUUAAGUCAGUUGUGAAAGUUUGCGGCUCAACCGUAAAAUUGCAGUUGAAACUGGCAGUCGUGAGUACAGUAGAGGUGUGCGGAAUUCGUGGUGUAGCGGUGAAAUGCUUAGAUAUCACGAAGAACUCCGAUUGCGAAGGCAGCUCACUGGACUGCAACUGACACUGAGGCUCGAAAGUGUGGGUAUCAAACAGGAUUAGAUACCCCAGUAGUC
This 460-nucleotide ribosomal RNA is filed under the name uncultured bacterium. Its description in RNAcentral is "partial 16S ribosomal RNA". It matches the Rfam family "Bacterial small subunit ribosomal RNA", at positions 338 to 795 of the family's 1533-position model. The record is from RNAcentral.